RNAcentral lists this ribosomal RNA (253 nucleotides) under uncultured bacterium. RNAcentral's name for it is "partial 16S ribosomal RNA". It matches the Rfam family "Bacterial small subunit ribosomal RNA", at positions 524 to 776 of the family's 1533-position model. The record is from RNAcentral.
CACGUAGGGCGCAAGCGUUGUCCGGAAUUAUUGGGCGUAAAGAGCUCGUAGGCGGUCUGUUGCGUCCGCUGUGAAAACUCGGGGCUUAACCCCGAGCCUGCAGUGGAUACGGGCAGACUAGAGGUAGGUAGGGGAGAAUGGAAUUCCCGGUGUAGCGGUGAAAUGCGCAGAUAUCAGGAAGAACACCAACGGCGAAGGCAGCUCGCUGGGACGGUACUGACGCUGAGACGCGAAAGCGUGGGGAGUGAACAGG